AAAAACAACCCACGUGAAUGUACUCUGUAUUAGGCUUUGGCCGCACCAUCGUGAUGGUGAGUGGCUAGCCGAAGGCUUCGCAAGAAGCCGAUGAAAUUUGAAUCCUUUUGAACCAACGACUGAUCAAAACUGCAGGCAGAAAUGCGUGCAUCGAAUUGAAAUACAACUUUCAGCAGUGGAUGUCUAGGCUCGCACACCGAUGAAGAACGCUGCGAACUGCGAUACGUAAUGCGAAUUGCAGAAUUCAGUGAGUCAUCAAAAUUUUGAACGCAUAUUGCACUUCCGGGUUAGUCCUGGGAGUAUGUUUGUAUCAGUGUCCGUGAACACAAACUUGUUUCAUUCCUCUAGGGGGAUGAAGCAGACAUUGAAGUGUCUUGCUUCGGCAAGUCCUUUGAAACGAUGGUACCUGUGCGUCCUCGUGAGAUGUAUUACACAAAGGUAUGCAUGCGCUCUAUUUCGACAGUCUUGUGUGAAAGCACCCGACACUCAACGAAAGAGCAAAUAGCGGUAGUUUUGCUUGUGCUUCGGCACGAGUGGACACAUAUUGCUUUUUGAUCGUUCGGCGAGGUCGGUGCUGGAAGGCAAGGCACGGGAUGGAAGUAUGUCUACUGGUGCAUUUCUUGGCGUAUGGAAGCAAAUUGGGAAUUCAAUCCAAUUUGGACCUGAUAUCAAA
Molecule: ribosomal RNA, 673 nt
Filed under: Saprolegnia sp. UNCW383
Lineage: Eukaryota; Oomycota; Saprolegniomycetes; Saprolegniales; Saprolegniaceae
Description: eukaryotic LSU rRNA
Rfam family: 5.8S ribosomal RNA (bases 165-319)
Source: RNAcentral